CCGAGUUAGGGUCUUCAUGGCCUGACCUCCAACCCUAUGUCUACUAUACCGUGUUGCUUUGGCGGGUCCGCCCUUUGGGGCCGCCGGGGGCUUUACUGCUCCUGGCCUGCGCCUGUCAGUAGCCUUCUUAAAUUCUUUUUAUAACUGUGUUGUCUGAGUCCAAAUAUCAAAUCAUUUUA
This 179-nucleotide unclassified non-coding RNA is filed under the name uncultured Herpotrichiellaceae. RNAcentral's name for it is "sequence contains ITS1". Lineage: Eukaryota; Fungi; Ascomycota; Eurotiomycetes; Chaetothyriales; Herpotrichiellaceae. The record is from RNAcentral.